AUUUAUUUGCUAAUGAUUAAUAAAAAAGUUCAUCUAUCCUUAGAUUGUAAUGGUCUGUCUGAAGAUUCAAACAAUGCCAAUUUAAAUGCUCAGUGCCUUUUCCCACAACCUUGGAAAGGGGGAAGGGUGUUUUCCUUUCUAACCUAUAUAUUUUUAAUGGCUUCAGGAAAGCUAUUCAUCAUUGGACUUGUUUUUUUUCAGUGGAUUUGUGAUGAUGGAUAGCCUUGAUAAUAAAGUGCAUGUGGACUGUUUGCUGGAGUGUGGUAUUGAUGCUGUAUAUAGGUGCAAAAGUUGAUUAGAAAUUGGUAUUUUGAGGUUUGAGCAUAGUAGCAAUUAGAAUACAGACAAUUUGUUAGAAGAAUAGGGGGUGAGAAACCAAGAGCCAUUCAUGGUUUGUUUAAGAGUCACUUCAAGUGAUAGGAGACGCAGUCUACCUU
This 437-nucleotide unclassified non-coding RNA is filed under the name Hevea brasiliensis (rubber tree). The record is from RNAcentral. Lineage: Eukaryota; Viridiplantae; Streptophyta; Magnoliopsida; Malpighiales; Euphorbiaceae.